Molecule: ribosomal RNA, 395 nt
Filed under: uncultured bacterium
Lineage: Bacteria
Description: bacterial SSU rRNA
Rfam family: Bacterial small subunit ribosomal RNA
Source: RNAcentral
GACGAACGCUGGCGGCGUGCUUAACACAUGCAAGUCGAACGGGGCGAAGUGAUAGCUCGCUAUUAUGGAGCCUAGUGGCAAACGGGUGAGUAACGCGUAGGCAACCUGCCCUUCAGAUGGGGACAACACCUCGAAAGGGGUGCUAAUACCGAAUGACGUUUCCUAGUCGCAUGACCUGGAAACCAAAGGCCGGGCAACCGGUCACUGAAGGAUGGGCCUGCGUCUGAUUAGCUAGUUGGUGGGUAACGGCCCACCAAGGCGACGAUCAGUAGCCGGUCUGAGAGGAUGAACGGCCACAUUGGGACCGAGACACGGCCCAAACUCCUACGGGAGGCAGCAGUGGGAAUCUUCCGCAAUGGGCGCAAAGGCCUUGACGGAGCAACGCCGCGUGAGGG